This 1612-nucleotide ribosomal RNA is filed under the name Salmonella enterica. RNAcentral's name for it is "partial 23S ribosomal RNA". It matches the Rfam family "Bacterial large subunit ribosomal RNA", at positions 614 to 2210 of the family's 2925-position model. The record is from RNAcentral. Lineage: Bacteria; Pseudomonadati; Pseudomonadota; Gammaproteobacteria; Enterobacterales; Enterobacteriaceae. RNAcentral also lists the same sequence under 1 other name.
AAUGGGUCAGCGACUUAUAUUCUGUAGCAAGGUUAACCGUAUAGGGGAGCCGGAGGGAAACCGAGUCUUAACCGGGCGUUAAGUUGCAGGGUAUAGACCCGAAACCCGGUGAUCUAGCCAUGGGCAGGUUGAAGGUUGGGUAACACUAACUGGAGGACCGAACCGACUAAUGUUGAAAAAUUAGCGGAUGACCUGUGGCUGGGGGUGAAAGGCCAAUCAAACCGGGAGAUAGCUGGUUCUCCCCGAAAGCUAUUUAGGUAGCGCCUCGUGAAUUCAUCUCCGGGGGUAGAGCACUGUUUCGGCUAGGGGGCCAUCCCGGCUUACCAACCCGAUGCAAACUGCGAAUACCGGAGAAUGUUAUCACGGGAGACACACGGCGGGUGCUAACGUCCGUCGUGAAGAGGGAAACAACCCAGACCGCCAGCUAAGGUCCCAAAGUCAUGGUUAAGUGGGAAACGAUGUGGGAAGGCCCAGACAGCCAGGAUGUUGGCUUAGAAGCAGCCAUCAUUUAAAGAAAGCGUAAUAGCUCACUGGUCGAGUCGGCCUGCGCGGAAGAUGUAACGGGGCUAAACCAUGCACCGAAGCUGCGGCAGCGACACUGUGUGUUGUUGGGUAGGGGAGCGUUCUGUAAGCCUGUGAAGGUGUGCUGUGAGGCAUGCUGGAGGUAUCAGAAGUGCGAAUGCUGACAUAAGUAACGAUAAAGCGGGUGAAAAGCCCGCUCGCCGGAAGACCAAGGGUUCCUGUCCAACGUUAAUCGGGGCAGGGUGAGUCGACCCCUAAGGCGAGGCCGAAAGGCGUAGUCGAUGGGAAACGGGUUAAUAUUCCCGUACUUGGUGUUACUGCGAAGGGGGGACGGAGAAGGCUAUGUUGGCCGGGCGACGGUUGUCCCGGUUUAAGCGUGUAGGUGUGUGUUCCAGGUAAAUCCGGUUCACUUUAACACUGAGGCGUGAUGACGAGGCACUACGGUGCUGAAGCAACAAAUGCCCUGCUUCCAGGAAAAGCCUCUAAGCAUCAGGUAACAUCAAAUCGUACCCCAAACCGACACAGGUGGUCAGGUAGAGAAUACCAAGGCGCUUGAGAGAACUCGGGUGAAGGAACUAGGCAAAAUGGUGCCGUAACUUCGGGAGAAGGCACGCUGACACGUAGGUGAAGUGAUUUACUCACGGAGCUGAAGUCAGUCGAAGAUACCAGCUGGCUGCAACUGUUUAUUAAAAACACAGCACUGUGCAAACACGAAAGUGGACGUAUACGGUGUGACGCCUGCCCGGUGCCGGAAGGUUAAUUGAUGGGGUCAGCGCAAGCGAAGCUCCUGAUCGAAGCCCCGGUAAACGGCGGCCGUAACUAUAACGGUCCUAAGGUAGCGAAAUUCCUUGUCGGGUAAGUUCCGACCUGCACGAAUGGCGUAAUGAUGGCCAGGCUGUCUCCACCCGAGACUCAGUGAAAUUGAACUCGCUGUGAAGAUGCAGUGUACCCGCGGCAAGACGGAAAGACCCCGUGAACCUUUACUAUAGCUUGACACUGAACAUUGAGCCUUGAUGUGUAGGAUAGGUGGGAGGCUUUGAAGCGUGGACGCCAGUCUGCGUGGAGCCGACCUUGAAAUACCACCCUUUAA